UGGGGGAUAUUGCACAAUGGGCGAAAGCCUGAUGCAGCCACGCCGCGUGAGGGAAGACGGUCUUCGGAUUGUAAACCUUUAGCUUUGGGGAAGAAACAAAUGACGGUACCCAAAGGGGCAGCCACGGCUAACUACGUGCCAGCAGCCGCGGUAAUACGUAGGUGGCAAGCGUUGUCCGGAAUUACUGGGUGUAAAGGGAGCGCAGGCGGGGAGACAAGUCAGCUGUGAAAACGAUGGGCUUAACCCAGAGAGUGCAGUUGAAACUG
RNAcentral lists this ribosomal RNA (266 nucleotides) under uncultured prokaryote. RNAcentral's name for it is "partial 16S ribosomal RNA". It matches the Rfam family "Bacterial small subunit ribosomal RNA", at positions 355 to 635 of the family's 1533-position model. The record is from RNAcentral.